RNAcentral lists this long non-coding RNA (226 nucleotides) under Homo sapiens (human). RNAcentral describes it as "non-protein coding lnc-USP25-7:1". The record is from RNAcentral. Lineage: Eukaryota; Metazoa; Chordata; Mammalia; Primates; Hominidae.
GUCAAGCCCAGCAGAAGAGAUAAAGGUAUUAGACUGGUCUGUAAAUUUCAAUGCCUAAAAAUAUCCACCAAGCUGUAGAUCUUCCCAAGAUAUUUUUCAGGAACGAAGCAUGUAAACUUACAUGAGUGAAAGACAGUGGUAAAAAAAAAAAAAAACAGUCUAUUUUGGGCUUUGGCUCCUACCUAAAUCUAGCUUGUUCAAUAAACCUGUUCAUUAAGUUUUAUGU